AGAGAGAUGCUAGAGCGGUUGAAUAGGACGGUCUCGAAAACCGUUAUACUCGCAAGGGUAUCGAGGGUUCGAAUCCCUCUCUCUCUG
This 87-nucleotide transfer RNA is filed under the name Candidatus Nephrothrix sp. EaCA. RNAcentral describes it as "tRNA-Ser". It matches the Rfam family "tRNA". From Rfam's summary of the family: Transfer RNA (tRNA) molecules are approximately 80 nucleotides in length. Their secondary structure includes four short double-helical elements and three loops (D, anti-codon, and T loops). Further hydrogen bonds mediate the characteristic L-shaped molecular structure. tRNAs have two regions of fundamental functional importance: the anti-codon, which is responsible for specific mRNA codon recognition, and the 3' end, to which the tRNAs corresponding amino acid is attached (by aminoacyl-tRNA synthetases). tRNAs cope with the degeneracy of the genetic code in two manners: having more than one tRNA (with a specific anti-codon) for a particular amino acid; and 'wobble' base-pairing, i.e. permitting non-standard base-pairing at the 3rd anti-codon position. The record is from RNAcentral. Lineage: Bacteria; Pseudomonadati; Bacteroidota; Cytophagia; Cytophagales; Cytophagaceae.